AAGAAAAGAAAAAAGAAAAGAAAAGAAAUUUAACAGGAUUUAUUUUUAACACCACAGAGAGGUAAAAUUGUCCAGAUGAGGUAUUUAUGCAUCAAUAAUCAGUAAUCAAGCAGAAAAACCAGCUUUAUCAUCACUUAUUAAAACAUGUAAUUAAAAUAUAUUGCGCAACAUGCCAGUUAUGCCAGUUGUGUUCGUCCUUUUUAAGAGUCAGGGAUGACCAGAAACAAUUAAAUGUUGUUAAGGGGUCAAUGAGGAGUUAAAAAAUGUAAAUAAUAUGCCUGUUAUUUAUGCAUUGAUGCGUCAGCACAUCUACCAUUCUGUCAUUGAUUUUCUGUCAUUAACCUGCUCUCUCCUCUGAUUCAUCCCCAGUGCUGAUUGGUUGCAGAAGGCUCACUUGCAUGCAUCCUGAUAAACUGGCACAUGCCUCGGCUCUCUGUCCCUCGCUGGCAUUAUUCCGUGGCUUUUGGGGUUAGUUUAGUGACAUCAAGACAAGCUCACCUGGAGAUGACGCGACUGAAGCAGAUCUCAGCCUGGACCAGUCGUCCCAGAUUUCUUAAGCACAGACCCUUCAGCAGCUGGACGACACACUCAUCGCCCGUGUGGUACUCUGAUGGGUCUGCACAUCAAACAGUAAACUUUGACAGGAUUCCUUCAGUCAGCUCAGGUCUUUUGCCCACUAUUGUGAAGCCAUUCCACACAUACAUCAUUUCCUGCGGUAACAGAUGAUUGUUGCUUACAAAUGCA
This is a long non-coding RNA of Oreochromis aureus, 744 nucleotides long. RefSeq lists it as uncharacterized. The transcript has 3 exons. Lineage: Eukaryota; Metazoa; Chordata; Actinopteri; Cichliformes; Cichlidae. The record is from RefSeq and is a predicted model, not a curated record.